Nicotiana tabacum (common tobacco) is the source of this 1024-nucleotide non-coding RNA. NCBI's taxonomy places the organism in Eukaryota, Viridiplantae, Streptophyta, Magnoliopsida, Solanales, Solanaceae. The record is from RefSeq and is a predicted model, not a curated record.
CCACCUAAGAUAUUUAUUAACGUCUCUCUGCCCAUUCAAUCUUCUCUGACCGCUCUCGCCAUCUCUAUCGAACCUCUUUUACUGUUAGAUCUUAAGUUGGGAAAUAUACAUCAUUUGUAAUCACGACUUUAGCAACUACGGAAAAGCCAUCGCUUCGUUUUUUCAGGUAGAUGCUGAAAGUCGGCAUGGAUGUGAAUAUGAGUUUAGUAUCUCCUUGAUGAUGCUUUUGCAAUGCAUAUUGAUGCAGCUUUUAGUUACUUGAGCUUAAUUGCAUGAAAAAGCUUAACAAAGUGAAUGGCUGCUGUUAUUGAGUUCGCUCUGAAAUUGGGACCUACAACAACAACAACAACAUCCCAGUGAAAUUGGGACCUACAUAUAGGUUUUUCUCUUCCUCCUGUUAUUCUAGCUUCAUUCAUCAAUCAGUAUGGAUCAAAUUGCUGAGUCAAUUUUGUUUAAAGAAAGCAUGUUCUCAUUGUUUAUAAGAAAGCAAGUUAUGUAAAUAUCAUAUUAUUUUCUCUAGGCAAGUAGCCAUUGUUCGGAUUUUUUCCUAAUCACUAGUAAUGGGUGAAUGGUCAUGAAGACAUGGGAAUACCUACUAUCUGCCUUUCAAAAAGAGCAAUAAUGUUGCCAUUGCAGAAUGAAAACCAGUAAUGCAUGAAAGAGGCGGAAAGUUUGUUCUGGACUACAUACAUCGCCAGCUAGAGACAAACAAAAGGUAGUAGCCGGAUUGGAGAGCAAAUUAGACAGAAUCUGAUAUUACUGCACUUUAUGUGGGGUUUUUAUUGUUGUAAAUCUUAAAUCUUUACAGUUCAAGUGAUUGUUAAAGCAAUGUGACACUGAGAAAUGGGUGUAGAUAAGAUUUAAAACUGUUCAAGAGGAUUUGGGAUUUGAUUUUGAGUUACCAACCCUUCCAUCCAAUUGUAGUUAUAGUGUCACAAUGACAGAUUUGGGGACACAACCUAAGCAUGGCUUCAGAUUACUGUUCAGUUCAGAACAAAAUUUUGUUCCGCUGCAGUAUAGGUGA